Molecule: ribosomal RNA, 422 nt
Filed under: uncultured archaeon
Lineage: Archaea
Description: partial 16S ribosomal RNA
Rfam family: Archaeal small subunit ribosomal RNA
Source: RNAcentral
CUACGGGGGGCUGCAGGCGAGAAAACUUUGCAAUGUGCGAAAGCACGACAAGGUUAAUCCGAGUGGUUUCUGCUAAAGGAACCUUUUGACAGUCCUAGAAACACUGUUGAAUAAGGGGUGGGCAAGUUCUGGUGUCAGCCGCCGCGGUAAAACCAGCACCUCAAGUGGUCAGGAUGAUUAUUGGGCCUAAAGCAUCCGUAGCCGGCUCUGUAAGUUUUCGGUUAAAUCUGUACGCUCAACGUACAGGCUGCCGGGAAUACUGCAGAGCUAGGGAGUGGGAGAGGUAGAUGGUACUCGGUAGGAAGGGGUAAAAUCCUUUGAUCUAUUGAUGACCACCUGUGGCGAAGGCGGUCUACCAGAACACGUCCGACGGUGAGGGAUGAAAGCUGGGGGAGCAAACCGGAUUAGAUACCCGAGUAGUC